RNAcentral lists this ribosomal RNA (253 nucleotides) under uncultured bacterium. RNAcentral's name for it is "partial 16S ribosomal RNA". It matches the Rfam family "Bacterial small subunit ribosomal RNA", at positions 524 to 776 of the family's 1533-position model. The record is from RNAcentral.
UACGUAGGGUGCAAGCGUUGUCCGGAAUUAUUGGGCGUAAAGAGCUCGUAGGCGGUCUGUCGCGUCUGCUGUGAAAGCUCGGGGCUUAACCCCGGGCCUGCAGUGGGUACGGGCAGACUAGAGUGCGGUAGGGGAGACUGGAAUUCCUGGUGUAGCGGUGAAAUGCGCAGAUAUCAGGAGGAACACCGGUGGCGAAGGCGGGUCUCUGGGCCACUACUGACGCUGAGAAGCGAAAGCAUGGGGAGCGAACAGG